UACGUAGGGGGCAAGCGUUGUCCGGAAUCAUUGGGCGUAAGGAGCGUGUAGGCGGCCCGGUAAGUCCGCUGUGAAAGUCCAGGGCUCAACCCUGGGAUGCCGGUGGAUACUGUCGGGCUCGAGUCCGGAAGAGGAGUGUGGAAUUCCUGGUGUAGCGGUGAAAUGCGCAGAUAUCAGGAGGAACACCAAUGGCGAAGGCAGCACUCUGGGACGUGACUGACGCUGAGACGCGAAAGCGUGGGGAGCAAACAGG
This 253-nucleotide ribosomal RNA is filed under the name uncultured bacterium. Its description in RNAcentral is "partial 16S ribosomal RNA". It matches the Rfam family "Bacterial small subunit ribosomal RNA", at positions 524 to 776 of the family's 1533-position model. The record is from RNAcentral.